This 79-nucleotide small nuclear RNA is filed under the name Chlorocebus sabaeus (green monkey). Lineage: Eukaryota; Metazoa; Chordata; Mammalia; Primates; Cercopithecidae. The record is from RNAcentral.
UAAAAUAGGAACCAUACAGAGAUGAGCAUGGCCCCUGUGCAAGGAUGACAUGCAAAUUUGUGAAGAAUUCCAUAUGUUU